CUGGUCUGUGCGAAACUGCUGCCAAAUGCAACUCUCCACAAGUUCUCUGCUUUUACACUCAUAGCUGGAGGUGAGGGAGAGGACGGAGGAGGCACCUAUACGACAUAUGUUACAGGCUAAACCAAAUACACUUCACACAGAUAAUGAUAAACUUUUCACAAUGUUGAUCAAACAAAGUACAUGUCCUCCGCAGAUUCCUAAUUCACCCAGUGAUCUCGAUGAACAUCUUUGCCCACUUUGUGUCUCACAUAUCCCUAAACUUGUGCAGUGCGGAAAAAAUUUCAUCUAAACCACUUAAUCUGAAAACUAUUUUUUUUUUCG
Pelobates cultripes (western spadefoot toad) is the source of this 321-nucleotide non-coding RNA. NCBI's taxonomy places the organism in Eukaryota, Metazoa, Chordata, Amphibia, Anura, Pelobatidae. The record is from the annotation of a GenBank genome assembly.